GAUGAACGCUGGCGGCGUGCCUAAUACAUGCAAGUCGAGCGAACAGACGAGGAGCUUGCUCCUCUGACGUUAGCGGCGGACGGGUGAGUAACACGUGGAUAACCUACCUAUAAGACUGGGAUAACUUCGGGAAACCGGAGCUAAUACCGGAUAAUAUAUUGAACCGCAUGGUUCAAUAGUGAAAGACGGUUUUGCUGUCACUUAUAGAUGGAUCCGCGCCGCAUUAGCUAGUUGGUAAGGUAACGGCUUACCAAGGCAACGAUGCGUAGCCGACCUGAGAGGGUGAUCGGCCACACUGGAACUGGAACACGGUCCUGACUCCUACGGGAGGCAGCAGUAGGGAAUCUUCCGCAAUGGGCGAAAGCUUGACGGAGCAACGCCGCGUGAGUGAUGAAGGUCUUCGGAUCGUAAAACUCUGUUAUUAGGGAAGAACAAAUGUGUAAGUAACUAUGCACGUCUUGACGGUACCUAAUCAGAAAGCCACGGCUAACUACGUG
This 497-nucleotide ribosomal RNA is filed under the name uncultured bacterium. RNAcentral's name for it is "partial 16S ribosomal RNA". It matches the Rfam family "Bacterial small subunit ribosomal RNA", at positions 28 to 507 of the family's 1533-position model. The record is from RNAcentral.